CCGCGGCCGGACGCGGUGGGGGAGCGCACGCCGAGGGCCUGUUCUGCCGGGCUGGGCUCAGGGGGACCAGGCGCCCAGACGCCCUCAGCAGCUCGGGACGACAGACGGGGUGACCGCGCUGGGGGUGCCGGCGGAGCCAAAGGGCCAGCCCCGGAGUCUCGGGCGCCGCGGGGCGCACCCCCACGCCUGACCGUCGGGGUCCCCCGUCCCGGCGGGGCGCACAGGUCGUCUCCCAGUGUUGAUGAGAGGGAGUCUCGGCGGUGUUUCUCCAGUGUUAACGUGCACACGAGUCCUCUCCGGAGCUUGUGGAAAUCCUGGUUCGGGAGAUCUGGAGUGCGGCCUCUGCAUUUCUAGCAAGCACCAGGGGGUGCCAGUGACGAAAGCGGCUGGUCCGAAGGCCAUGCCGUGAGUCGCAAAGACAGAUGAGAACAAGUGCGUUGGCUCCGGAGUCGGGCAGACCUGACUCGGGGAGGAUUCAGAGUCGUGGAUCCAGGGCCUCCGUGGCUAGAGCCAAGCACUUUCAGAUUCCUGGCACCUGCCGACAUCGUGGGAAGGAAGCAGCUGAGUGACUUUCUCGUCGCCACAGAACGCAGGCUGUAAAGCCUCUGACUCUCUUCUAAGCUCUGCUGAAGUUCACACGUGUGCCUCUCUGUUCAUUCGUGAAGCCUUUCUAGGGACCCUCCAGCAGCGCACGGUGCCAGGUGAGGCCGGGGGAGUUCUGUCCUCGGGUGGGUCACAGCCUCCCUGCAGACGUGAGAU
Molecule: long non-coding RNA, 759 nt
Organism: Lontra canadensis (Northern American river otter)
Lineage: Eukaryota; Metazoa; Chordata; Mammalia; Carnivora; Mustelidae
Exons: 4
Source: RefSeq, a predicted model, not a curated record